CUUAAGAUCACAAUGGGCUCUGAAAGUUUCUGUCACCUGAUGAGGUUGCAGCUGUGUAACAGCCUAGUCCUGGAUGUCACUCGGGACUUCCCUGCCAUCUUGGAUGUUGCUGUUGAACUGUGAAUGGGAACAAACUCCUCCUCCUUAAGUUGCUUCUGUCAGAUUUUGACAUAUCGAUAAGAGUAACUAUGACACCCACUGACCAGGAGUAGUUGAGCAUCACAUGGCAGCCAUUGCUUACACGAGAUCUGCUUCUCACCAAGUCUCCACCAGCACUAGAGAUCUAGCACUUGUGAUGGACGCUUUGCUGAGAGAUUGUGGGAGAACAGCUGCAUGGGCUCUUCAAGUGUUCUCCCUGUUGGUGGUGUGUGGAAAGCAAAAGUGGCAAGCAACCAAAGAGUUCUCAUUGGAAAUACAGAAAAAUGCUAAUUUUAAUAUGCUGUUGUGUGAGACAUCAACACAGUAUUAAAUUUCGUUCUUUGUAUGUAAAUAUUUCAUCUUCCCGGGACACACAGUUACAAAACAAAACAAGGUAAUCCUGCCAUACUCAAUAUGGUGGAUGAAUCUGGAAGACAUUAUGGUAAGUGAAAUAAGCCAACCCCCGAAGGAUGAAUACAGCAACAUUUCCUGCAUGUGAAGUUUCAGAGCAGCCAAAGAAAGAAGCAAGAAGUAGAAGGAGACAGCUGGGCUGGCAAUGGAAAGCAAGGAGGUGGAGGUUCAGUUGGUGAGGUGGUCAGCACACAGAACACAGCUGUCCUGGAACACGUCUCAGUCCAUGGCCGUGCAAGAAGAUCAGGACUUGCCCCUGGUGUAAAUUGACUAAUGUAUUCCUUAACUGGAGAGUCUGACGGGCCCAGCCUUUAGGGAGUCACUAGCAGGAUGAGAGAUACCAUAUCAGAGGGAGCCACUAUAGGUCCGAGAAGAGAUCUGGAACCAGGGAGAUCUCCAGAGACCUACAAGGAUGACUCGAUCUGACAGUCCGGGCAGUGGAGGAGAGGAUGGCCUAGAAGCCCUUCCCCUAGAAUGAGAUUGAUGACUACUCUCUAUGCUAUCCUAG
This 1057-nucleotide long non-coding RNA is filed under the name Cricetulus griseus (Chinese hamster). Its description in RNAcentral is "lncRNA (ENSCGRG00015040788.1)". The record is from RNAcentral. Lineage: Eukaryota; Metazoa; Chordata; Mammalia; Rodentia; Cricetidae.